GGCCAACCCACCGGCCAUCUUCUCCAGUCGAAACCGGCCUGCCUCUCUCUAUGUUCCUGUACUAGUGAGAAUGAAUUAACAAAUGAAGAUGAGGAUGCAGCUGAUGCAGAAGGCGACCAUUGUGGAUCAUCACAAAGUAAUCGUUAAGUGACGUACGUAUACUUGACCUGUUAGGUUGAGUACGUAUUUGACACCAAAUGCUAAGCGAACUCGUUGAUAUAUUUUAUUUCAUAUGUAAUAAACAAUU
Corylus avellana is the source of this 247-nucleotide long non-coding RNA. RefSeq lists it as uncharacterized. The record is from RefSeq and is a predicted model, not a curated record. NCBI's taxonomy places the organism in Eukaryota, Viridiplantae, Streptophyta, Magnoliopsida, Fagales, Betulaceae.